RNAcentral lists this ribosomal RNA (440 nucleotides) under uncultured bacterium. RNAcentral's name for it is "partial 16S ribosomal RNA". It matches the Rfam family "Bacterial small subunit ribosomal RNA", at positions 338 to 795 of the family's 1533-position model. The record is from RNAcentral.
CCUACGGGUGGCAGCAGUGGGGAAUAUUGCACAAUGGGGGAAACCCUGAUGCAGCGACGCCGCGUGAGUGAAGAAGUAUUUCGGUAUGUAAAGCUCUGUCAGCAGUGAAGAAGAAAAAGGGUACUUGACAAAAAAGCCCGGCUAAACACGUGCCAGCAGCCGCGGUAAUACGGAGGGGGCAAGCGUUACCCGGAUUUACUGGGUGUAAAAGGAGCGGAGACGGAGCGGCAAGUCUGAAGUGAAAGGCAGGGGCUUAACCCCGGAACUGCUUUGGAAACUGCGAUGCUAGAGUGCUGGAGGGGUAAGUGGAAUUCCUAGUGUAGCGGUGAAAUGCGUAGAUAUUAGGAGGAACACCAGUGGCGAAGGCGACUUACUGGACAGUAACUGACGUUGAGGCUCGAAAGCGUGGGGAGCAAACAGGAUUAGAUACCCCUGUAGUC